AGAGUUUGAUCAUGGCUCAGGACGAACGCUGGCGGCGCGCCUAAUCCAUGCAAGUCGAGCGACGCAUUCCUUAGCCCGUAAGGGCGGGUUUGACGGAGCGGCGAACGGGUGCGUAACACGUGACCAAUCUGCCCCGAAGACCGGGAUAGCCCGGGGAAACCCGGAUUAAUACCGGAUGAUCUCACCACCACGCAUGUGGAGGUGAGCAAAGGCUCAGGCGCUUCGGGAUGAGGUCGCGGCCCAUCAGCUUGUUGGUGAGGUAACGGCUCACCAAGGCAAUUACGGGUAGCUGGUCUGAGAGGACGAUCAGCCACACUGGAACUGAGAUACGGUCCAGACUCCUACGGGAGGCAGCAGGAGGGAAUCUUGCGCAAUGGGCGAAAGCCUGACGCAGCGACGCCGCGUGGGGGAUGAAUGCCUUAGGGUUGUAAACCCCUUUCACGAGGGAAGAAACUGACGGUACCUCGAGAAGAAGCCCCGGCCAACUACGUGCCAGCAGCCGCGGUAAUACGUAGGGGGCGAGCGUUGUCCGGAUUUAUUGGGCGUAAAGGGCUCGUAGGCGGCUUGNNAGUCGGCCGUGAAAACCCAGGGCUCAACUCUGGGACGCCGGUCGAUACUGCAUGGCUAGGGUCCGGUAANGGGAAUGGAAU
Molecule: ribosomal RNA, 650 nt
Filed under: uncultured Actinomycetes bacterium
Lineage: Bacteria; Bacillati; Actinomycetota; Actinomycetes
Description: bacterial SSU rRNA
Rfam family: Bacterial small subunit ribosomal RNA
Source: RNAcentral